Long non-coding RNA from Phyllopteryx taeniolatus (common seadragon), 891 nucleotides. RefSeq lists it as uncharacterized. The record is from RefSeq and is a predicted model, not a curated record. The transcript is spliced from 3 exons. NCBI's taxonomy places the organism in Eukaryota, Metazoa, Chordata, Actinopteri, Syngnathiformes, Syngnathidae.
AUUUAUUGAAAAAAGUAAUGGAGAUGGUCCUUGAGAUGAGCUGGCGGGUCAUCGAGGCAGGGAACGUGUGGCAGGCGGUGGCGAGAACAGGCGGCUGGCUUGGCGGCGUGGUGGAAGAAGUCAACUCAGUGAGGGACACGGAGGGAGCACUGAGGACAAGGAGAAACACCGAGGUCAGAAAAAUGGAGCGGAAUGGCGUAGCUUACUUGUAUGCUUGAGAGCCAUUGUAUCACGGGAGAACAUUAAUAGUCUGGCAGUGGAGUCUUGGAUCUGGCAGGCUUUUAUGCAGGUGGUGAUGAAGGCUGAUUGAUGACAGGUGGUGCUGCUUACUACGAAGAGAGGAAGGGGGAGCGAGAGAGGGCAAAAGGGGCGGAAAGCGCCACCCAAGCUCCAACAAAAGAACUGCAGGGCACAGCUCAUGACAAUUUAUUUCCCAAAGGGGCAGGGCACUGCAGCAAAUGCUCCUCAAACAAGAGGAAAUGAUCAAGUGUGAGUACGGCAGAGAGGAGCAGGUGUGGGAGGUUGAGAGGAGAAAGACAAAUGAGCAGCCGGCACGGUGAAAGACAGCCUCACAGUUCUAGGGACCGGGGUUCAAAUCUGGCCUCCCCUGUGUGGAGUUUGCAUGUUCUCCCCGUGCCUGGGUGGGUUUUCUCCAGGCACUCCGGUUUCCUCCAACAUCCCAAAAGCAUGCAUGGGAUUGCAGUGCCAUGUCUCCAUCCAGACCUUCAGUUGCGCCACCUUUAAAGGGAAUGAGAAGGAAUUGGCAGUCAGAGAAGUCAGCUGAAAACACUCCUAAUGUGGUGCAACGCAGUCUACGAACUUACCAACACCGGUCUAACCCGCCCCUGGCAUACAGUUGCGGCACCCACCGCACCAGAUUUACGCUGGUCA